This 915-nucleotide ribosomal RNA is filed under the name uncultured bacterium. RNAcentral's name for it is "bacterial SSU rRNA". It matches the Rfam family "Bacterial small subunit ribosomal RNA", at positions 10 to 915 of the family's 1533-position model. The record is from RNAcentral.
AGUUUGAUCCUGGCUCAGGAUGAACGCUAGCUACAGGCUUAACACAUGCAAGUCGAGGGGAAACGAUAGAGAAAGCUUGCUUUUUCUAGGCGUCGACCGGCGCACGGGUGAGUAACGCGUAUCCAACCUGCCCACCACUUGGGAAUAACCUUGCGAAAGUAAGACUAAUACCCAAUGAUAUCUCUAGAAGACAUCUGAAGGAGAUUAAAGAUUUAUCGGUGAUGGAUGGGGAUGCGUCUGAUUAGCUUGUUGGCGGGGUAACGGCCCACCAAGGCGACGAUCAGUAGGGGUUCUGAGAGGAAGGUCCCCCACAUUGGAACUGAGACACGGUCCAAACUCCUACGGGAGGCAGCAGUGAGGAAUAUUGGUCAAUGGGCGAGAGCCUGAAUCAGCCAAGUAGCGUGCAGGAAGACGGCCCUAUGGGUUGUAAACUGCUUUUAUAAGGGAAUAAAGUGAGUCUCGUGAGACUUUUUGCAUGUACCUUAUGAAUAAGGACCGGCUAAUUCCGUGCCAGCAGCCGCGGUAAUACGGAAGGUCCGGGCGUUAUCCGGAUUUAUUGGGUUUAAAGGGAGCGUAGGCCGGAGAUUAAGCGUGUUGUGAAAUGUAGACGCUCAACGUCUGCACUGCAGCGCGAACUGGUUUCCUUGAGUACGCACAAAGUGGGCGGAAUUCGUGGUGUAGCGGUGAAAUGCUUAGAUAUCACGAAGAACUCCGAUUGCGAAGGCAGCUCACUGGAGCGCAACUGACGCUGAAGCUCGAAAGUGCGGGUAUCGAACAGGAUUAGAUACCCUGGUAGUCCGCACGGUAAACGAUGGAUGCCCGCUGUUGGUCUGAAUAGGUCAGCGGCCAAGCGAAAGCAUUAAGCAUCCCACCUGGGGAGUACGCCGGCAACGGUGAAACUCAAAGGAAUUGACG